This 1549-nucleotide ribosomal RNA is filed under the name Staphylococcus aureus. RNAcentral's name for it is "16S ribosomal RNA". It matches the Rfam family "Bacterial small subunit ribosomal RNA". The record is from RNAcentral. Lineage: Bacteria; Bacillati; Bacillota; Bacilli; Caryophanales; Staphylococcaceae.
UAUGGAGAGUUUGAUCCUGGCUCAGGAUGAACGCUGGCGGCGUGCCUAAUACAUGCAAGUCGAGCGAACGGACGAGAAGCUUGCUUCUCUGAUGUUAGCGGCGGACGGGUGAGUAACACGUGGAUAACCUACCUAUAAGACUGGGAUAACUUCGGGAAACCGGAGCUAAUACCGGAUAAUAUUUUGAACCGCAUGGUUCAAAAGUGAAAGACGGUCUUGCUGUCACUUAUAGAUGGAUCCGCGCUGCAUUAGCUAGUUGGUAAGGUAACGGCUUACCAAGGCAACGAUGCAUAGCCGACCUGAGAGGGUGAUCGGCCACACUGGAACUGAGACACGGUCCAGACUCCUACGGGAGGCAGCAGUAGGGAAUCUUCCGCAAUGGGCGAAAGCCUGACGGAGCAACGCCGCGUGAGUGAUGAAGGUCUUCGGAUCGUAAAACUCUGUUAUUAGGGAAGAACAUAUGUGUAAGUAACUGUGCACAUCUUGACGGUACCUAAUCAGAAAGCCACGGCUAACUACGUGCCAGCAGCCGCGGUAAUACGUAGGUGGCAAGCGUUAUCCGGAAUUAUUGGGCGUAAAGCGCGCGUAGGCGGUUUUUUAAGUCUGAUGUGAAAGCCCACGGCUCAACCGUGGAGGGUCAUUGGAAACUGGAAAACUUGAGUGCAGAAGAGGAAAGUGGAAUUCCAUGUGUAGCGGUGAAAUGCGCAGAGAUAUGGAGGAACACCAGUGGCGAAGGCGACUUUCUGGUCUGUAACUGACGCUGAUGUGCGAAAGCGUGGGGAUCAAACAGGAUUAGAUACCCUGGUAGUCCACGCCGUAAACGAUGAGUGCUAAGUGUUAGGGGGUUUCCGCCCCUUAGUGCUGCAGCUAACGCAUUAAGCACUCCGCCUGGGGAGUACGACCGCAAGGUUGAAACUCAAAGGAAUUGACGGGGACCCGCACAAGCGGUGGAGCAUGUGGUUUAAUUCGAAGCAACGCGAAGAACCUUACCAAAUCUUGACAUCCUUUGACAACUCUAGAGAUAGAGCCUUCCCCUUCGGGGGACAAAGUGACAGGUGGUGCAUGGUUGUCGUCAGCUCGUGUCGUGAGAUGUUGGGUUAAGUCCCGCAACGAGCGCAACCCUUAAGCUUAGUUGCCAUCAUUAAGUUGGGCACUCUAAGUUGACUGCCGGUGACAAACCGGAGGAAGGUGGGGAUGACGUCAAAUCAUCAUGCCCCUUAUGAUUUGGGCUACACACGUGCUACAAUGGGCAAUACAAAGGGCAGCGAAACCGCGAGGUCAAGCAAAUCCCAUAAAGUUGUUCUCAGUUCGGAUUGUAGUCUGCAACUCGACUACAUGAAGCUGGAAUCGCUAGUAAUCGUAGAUCAGCAUGCUACGGUGAAUACGUUCCCGGGUCUUGUACACACCGCCCGUCACACCACGAGAGUUUGUAACACCCGAAGCCGGUGGAGUAACCUUUUAGGAGCUAGCCGUCGAAGGUGGGACAAAUGAUUGGGGUGAAGUCGUAACAAGGUAGCCGUAUCGGAAGGUGCGGCUGGAUCACCUCCUU